This 297-nucleotide unclassified non-coding RNA is filed under the name fungal sp. RNAcentral's name for it is "partial internal transcribed spacer region". The stretch from base 1 to 46 matches the Rfam family "Eukaryotic small subunit ribosomal RNA", at positions 1786 to 1831 of the family's 1831-position model. The record is from RNAcentral. Lineage: Eukaryota; Fungi.
AAGUCGUAACAAGGUUUCCGUAGGUGAACCUGCGGAAGGAUCAUUAAUUAAAUGUGAUACUUUCUAUUAACCACAUAGUGAGAAAAUAUUUUUUAAUAUUUUCAAGCUUAUUGGUAUUUUAAUUUUAAUUUUAAGCUUUAAAAUUAUUAAUUUUAUAUGCUUAAUUCUUUUGGGGUUAAAAUCCCAAAAUAAAACUAAUGUUAAUAAUAUUUAAAUUAUUAUAAAAAAGCAUUCUAAUUGUUUAAUUAAUUAUUAUAUAAUUAUAUAACAACUAAUAACAAUGGAUCUCUUGGCACU